AAAGCAAGCAACAAAGCAUGGCUUAUGAUGGGCACUUGUCAGGGGAGAGAGAAGCCAGAGCAGAGCUCCCAGUUCACAUUCAGUGAAAAAUAAUGACAAAUGAUACAAGGACAGAAGACCUGUGAUUUGUUUAGACUCUUCUGGUUGCAGGAGUAGCACAUAAGAAGCACACAUGAGUAUUUGGCAUGAUAUUAUUUGGAGUGAGGUCUCGAUGUACAAUCCUCUUCUCUUUGUGCAAAUAUCGAAGAGCUAAACACAGCUUAAUGACAAAGAAAAAAGCUAACGAGAUGUCCUUUGCCAUUAAAGAAACAUGUUCUAACGAUGUGCUGCCCAAACUGGAGGAUAUUUGGAGAAGGGGGAGGACACUGAGGACUAGUGCCUCAUGUGAAGACAUACAAUGAGGGCAGGCCUGAGGUGAGAACUGAAAUGGAAACUUCCUUCUUCAUACCUUUAGCCACUCUGUUACAUGAAUUUACUCAACAACAGUUACUUGUUUAUUUAAAAAGAUGACAGGUUUGAGGAGUAUGUCACAGUCCCUGUGUUAAAACUAACCCACC
Pogona vitticeps (central bearded dragon) is the source of this 557-nucleotide non-coding RNA. The record is from RefSeq and is a predicted model, not a curated record. Lineage: Eukaryota; Metazoa; Chordata; Lepidosauria; Squamata; Agamidae.